GAUGAACGCUGGCGGCGUGCCUAAUACAUGCAAGUCGAGCGAACGGACGAGAAGCUUGCUUCUCUGAUGUUAGCGGCGGACGGGUGAGUAACACGUGGAUAACCUACCUAUAAGACUGGGAUAACUUCGGGAAACCGGAGCUAAUACCGGAUGAUAUUUUGAACCGCAUGGGUCAAAAGUGAAAGACGGUCUUGCUGUCACUUAUAGAUGGAUCCGCGCUGCAUUAGCUAGUUGGUAAGGUAACGGCUUACCAAGGCAACGAUGCAUAGCCGACCUGAGAGGGUGAUCGGCCACACUGGAACUUAGCCACGGUCCAGACUCCUACGGGAGGCAGCAGUAGGGAAUCUUCCGCAAUGGGCGAAAGCCUGACGGAGCAACGCCGCGUGAGUGAUGAAGGUCUUCGGAUCGUAAAACUCUGUUAUUAGGGAAGAACAUAUGUGUAAGUAACUGUGCACAUCUUGACGGUACCUAAUCAGAAAGCCACGGCUAACUACGUG
Molecule: ribosomal RNA, 497 nt
Filed under: uncultured bacterium
Lineage: Bacteria
Description: partial 16S ribosomal RNA
Rfam family: Bacterial small subunit ribosomal RNA
Source: RNAcentral